UGUAAACACUGGCACGCGGCGGGGAGGCAGCGGAGGAAGAAGAGCUAUAGAGAAGAGCAGCUGAGAAGAGGGCGAGGGAGUGUUGAGGAAGAGAAGAGGACGAGGGAGUGUUGAGGAAGAGAAGAGGACGAGGGAGUGUUGAGGAAGAGAAGAGGACGAGGGAGUGUUGAGGAAGAGAAGAGGACGAGGGAGUGCUGAGGAAGAGAAGAGGACGAGGGAGUGUUGAGGAAGAGAACGAGGGAGUGUUGAGGAAGAGACGAGAAAGCAGAAGUGUGUGUGUGGCGGGAGGGGUCGUCGAGGCGUGCGUGUCGUGUCGGUGUGAGGCGAGUGAGUAGGCCGCCGCCAUGCCCGUGGGUCCCGAUGGCUUCCGCGUGCCCACCGUCACGGAGAGCGCCGCAAGCAACAAGCUGGAGUGGGUGACAGGGCCGAGCCAGGACGACUACAACCGCACCUUUGUGAUCAACGAUGAGGACCACACGCUGGGGAACGCCCUCAAGCACGUCAUCAUGCAGAACCCGGCGGUGGAGUUCUGUGGCUACACCGUCCCCCACCCCAUGGAGAAGAAGAUCCACGUGCGGGUGCAGACCAGUGACACGCCGGCCCUGCAGGUUCUCCUCCAGGCCCUCAAAGACCUGAAGAAGCAGAAUGAGGAGGUCAAGAAGAAGAUUGAGUAAACAGUGGAACCUCGGGAAAUAAGACACCAUGGGGCCAAAGAAGGAUAGUGAUCGCAGCAAAGUGAAAAGAAAAAAGAACAGAAUCAUGGUAGAGGUGAAGAAAGAAAUCAUUGCCAAACAUGAAAAUGGCGUUCGUCUUGCUGAUCUUGCUGCUCAGUUUGGCAUGGCAAAAUCAACAAUCUGUACCAUUCUAAAAAAUAAAGAGACGUUCAAGGGAGCCAAUGUUGCAAGAGGAGUGACAGUUCUUAGUAAAAGAUCACAGACGAUUGAAGAAGUGGAGAAAAUGCUGCUGAUUUGGAUAAAUAAAAAACUGUUAGCUGGUGAGAGUGUUACUGAGGCCAUCAUUUGUGAACAAGCAAGGCAACUGCAUGAUGACCUGGUAAAAAAAUGCCCUGGUACAAGUGCUGAUACUGAUGUUUUCAAAGCUAGCAGAAGCUGGUUUAACAAUUUUAAGAAAAGAAGUGGCAGACUUAGUGAGGCCAGGCACGGGGAGGCCGUGAGUGCGAACCAAAGAGUUGCUGAGGGAUUUCUUCCCCAGCAAGUGUUUAAUUGCAAUGAAACUGGUCUGUUCUGGAAAAGAAUGCCAAAGAGGACACACAUCACCCAAGAGGAGGAAGCAUUGCCAGGACACCAGCCAAUGAAGGACAGACUGACUCUUUUGCUGUGUGGAAACGCAAGUGGGGACUUCAAGGUCAAGCCAUUACUUGUGUACCACUCGGAUAAUCCGAGGGUGUUUAAGAAAAACAAUGUGAUAAGAAGUAAAUUGCCUGUUAUGUGGAGAGCUAAUUGUAAGGCUCGGGUAACUAGGCAAUUUUUUAUGGAGUGGGUCCAUGAAGUCUUUGCCCCAAGUGUGAAGAAAUACUUGCAAGACAACAGUUUGCCGCUGAAGUGCCUCCUGGUGAUGGAUGAUGCACCUGCUCACCCUCCAGGCUUGGUGGAUGAGUGGGUGGAGGAGUUAGAUUUCAUCACAGUGAAGUUCCUGCCUCCUUACACUGCUCCUCUAAUCCAGCCCUUGGAUCAGCAGGUCAUUUCAAACUUUAAGAAGCUUUACACCAAAGCACUUUUUCAAAGGUGUUUUGAGGUAACCUUUGACACAGAAUUAACACUCAGGGACGUCUGGAAACAUCAUUUUAAUAUUCUUCAUUGCUUAAUGCUCAUUGACAAAGCCUGGCAGCAAGUGACUUACAGGUCCGUGAAUUCGGCCUGGAGGAUAUUGUGGUCGGAUUGUGUUGCAGGCUCUGACACUAAGGAUUUUGUUGUUAUCGAUGAUAUUGUGUCUCUAGGUAAAGACAUGGGCUUGGAAGUUAACAGAGAAGACGUGGAGGAGUUACUAGAAGGGCACAAAAAUGAGCUCAGCGUGGAAGAAAUGGAACAACUUCAGAAGCAUCAGCAAGAGGCCAUUUUGGAGGAAAUGUCAUCGGAGGAGGAGGAAGGAAGGGAGGAUGUCCCUAGUUCUUUGAUCCGCAAAAUUUGUGCAACAUGGGGUGAGGUGCAGAGUUUUGUGGAGCGACAUCACCCUGAUAUAGCAGUAGCAGGCCGCAGCAUAAACACUUUCAAUGACAUUGCCAUGUCUCACUUCAGAAACAUUUUAAAAUGUAGACAAAAAAAAAAUACAUUGGACAAAUUUUUAGUAGGACAGAGGCCCAGUGAGUCCCAAGCAGAGUGGAGUGGUGCUAAGGGACAGAAAAGAGAAAAGGAAGAAACCCCAGAAAGACAGUUACCUGAUUGGUUUUAUGGAAGGGGAUUCCCCUCACAAAUAAUAACAUCUCUUCCCUUUCCCAUCCUCACCACCUUCCACUCACGCCGUCAACUCUCCUCCGUGCGGGAGGCGGUGCAGCGGUACAGGGAGGCCCACCCCCCGCCAGACACAGAGGCAGACUAACCCUGAACAACCUGUAGGCAAGGCAUCUCUCCUAAAUAGUUAUAAUCAUGUUACGGUUUCUCAAUAAAAUGCUGCAAAAG
This is an RNA transcript of Eriocheir sinensis (Chinese mitten crab), 2636 nucleotides long. It is a transcript of the gene named DNA-directed RNA polymerases I and III subunit RPAC2-like, with no coding region annotated. NCBI's taxonomy places the organism in Eukaryota, Metazoa, Arthropoda, Malacostraca, Decapoda, Varunidae. The record is from RefSeq and is a predicted model, not a curated record. The transcript is spliced from 5 exons.